AGAGUUUUCGAGUCCUCGGCUACAGAACGAACGUUGGCGGCACUGCCUAACACAUGCAAGUCGAACGAAGGCUUCGGCCUUAGUGGCGCACGGGUGCGUAACGCGUGGGAAGUCUGCCCUUAGGUUCGGAAUAACAGCUGGAAACGGCUGCUAAUACCGGAUGAUGACGAAAGUCCAAAGAUUUAUUGCCUGAGGAUGAGCCCGCGUUGGAUUAGGUAGUUGGUGGGGUAAAGGCCUACCAAGCCGACGAUCCAUAGCUGGUCUGAGAGGAUGAUCAGCCACACUGGGACUGAGACACGGCCCAGACUCCUACGGGAGGCAGCAGUGGGGAAUAUCGGACAAUGGGCGAAAGCCUGAUCCAGCAAUGCCGCGUGAGUGAUGAAGUCCCUAGGGUUGUAAAGCUCUUUUACCCGGGAAGAUAAUGACUGUACCGGGAGAAUAAGCCCCGGCUAACUCCGUG
Molecule: ribosomal RNA, 460 nt
Filed under: uncultured Sphingomonas sp.
Lineage: Bacteria; Pseudomonadati; Pseudomonadota; Alphaproteobacteria; Sphingomonadales; Sphingomonadaceae
Description: bacterial SSU rRNA
Rfam family: Bacterial small subunit ribosomal RNA
Source: RNAcentral